This 253-nucleotide ribosomal RNA is filed under the name uncultured bacterium. RNAcentral describes it as "partial 16S ribosomal RNA". It matches the Rfam family "Bacterial small subunit ribosomal RNA", at positions 524 to 776 of the family's 1533-position model. The record is from RNAcentral.
UACGGAGGGGGCGAGCGUUAUUCGGAAUUAUUGGGCGUAAAGGGCGCGUAGGCGGCCUGUUAAGUCGAACGUGAAAUCCCCGGGCUCAACCCGGGAACUGCGUCCGAUACUGGCAGGCUUGAAUCCGGGAGAGGGAUGCGGAAUUCCAGGUGUAGCGGUGAAAUGCGUAGAUAUCUGGAGGAACACCGGUGGCGAAGGCGGCAUCCUGGACCGGUAUUGACGCUGAGGCGCGAAAGCCAGGGGAGCAAACGGG